This 440-nucleotide ribosomal RNA is filed under the name uncultured bacterium. Its description in RNAcentral is "partial 16S ribosomal RNA". It matches the Rfam family "Bacterial small subunit ribosomal RNA", at positions 338 to 795 of the family's 1533-position model. The record is from RNAcentral.
CCUACGGGCGGCAGCAGUGGGGAAUAUUGGACAAUGGGGGAAACCCUGAUCCAGCGACGCAGCGUGCGUGAAGAAGUAUUUCGGUACGUAAAGCUCUAUCAGCAGGGAAGAAAAUGACGUUACCUGACUAAGAAGCCCCGGCUAACUACGUGCCCGCAGCCGCGGUAAUACGGAGGGGGCCAGCGUGAUCCGGAUUUACUGGGUGUAAAGGGGGCGUAGACGGCAGCGCAAGCCUGGAGUGAAAUGCCCGGGCCCAACCCCGGAACUGCACUGGAAACUGUGAAGCUGGAGUGCAGGGGAGGUAGGCGGAAUUCCUGGUGUAGCGGUGAAAUGCGUAGAUAUCAGGAGGAACACCGGCGGCGAAGGCGGCUUACUGGAGUGUAACUGACGUUGAGGCUCGAAGGCGUGGGGAGCAAACAGGAUUAGAUACCCGAGUAGUC